UAGGGAAUCUUCCGCAAUGGGCGAAAGCCUGACGGAGCAACGCCGCGUGAGUGAUGAAGGUCUUCGGAUCGUAAAACUCUGUUAUUAGGGAAGAACAUAUGUGUAAGUAACUGUGCACAUCUUGACGGUACCAUAUCAGAAAGCCACGGCUAACUACGUGCCAGCAGCCGCGGUAAUACGUAGGUGGCAAGCGUUAUCCGAAAUUAUUGGGCGUAAAGCGCGCGUAGGCGGUUUUUUAAGUCUGAUGUGAAAGCCCACGGCUCAACCGUGGAGGGUCAUUGGAAACUGGAAAACUUGAGUGCAGAAGAGGAAAGUGGAAUUCCAUGUGUAGCGGUGAAAUGCGCAGAGAUAUGGAGGAACACCAGUGGCGGAGGCGACUUUCUGGUCUGUAACUGACGCUGAUGUGCGAAAGCGUGGGGAUCAAACAGGAUUAGAUACCCUGGUAGUCCACGCCGUAAACGAUGAGUGCUAAGUGUUAGGGGGUUUCCGCCCCUUAGUGCUGCAGCUAACGCAUUAAGCACUCCGCCUGGGGAGUACGACCGCAAGGUUG
RNAcentral lists this ribosomal RNA (550 nucleotides) under uncultured bacterium. Its description in RNAcentral is "bacterial SSU rRNA". It matches the Rfam family "Bacterial small subunit ribosomal RNA", at positions 355 to 896 of the family's 1533-position model. The record is from RNAcentral.